This 495-nucleotide ribosomal RNA is filed under the name uncultured bacterium. RNAcentral describes it as "SSU rRNA". It matches the Rfam family "Bacterial small subunit ribosomal RNA", at positions 26 to 518 of the family's 1533-position model. The record is from RNAcentral.
AGAUUGAACGCUGGCGGCGUGCCUAACACAUGCAAGUCGAGCGGUAACAGGUGUAGCAAUACAUGCUGACGAGCGGCGAACGGGUGAGUAAUGCUUUGGAAUCUUCCCAGUAGUGGGGAAUAACCAGUCGAAAGAUUGGCUAAUACCGCAUACGUCUGUAAAGGGAAAGCGGGGGCUCGUAAGACCUCGCGCUAUUGGAUGAGCCAAAGUCGGAUUAGCUAGUUGGUGGGGUAAUGGCCUACCAAGGCGACAAUCCGUAGCUGGUCUGAGAGGACGACCAGCCACACCGGAACUGAGACACGGUCCGGACUCCUACGGGAGGCAGCAGUGGGGAAUAUUGGACAAUGGGGGAAACCCUGAUCCAGCGACGCCGCGUGUGUGAAGAAGGCCUGCGGGUUGUAAAGCACUUUUAGUGGGGACAAAAAGCUACGGAUUAAUACUCUGUGGUCUUGAUUAACCAAAGAAAAGCACGGCUAACUCUGCGCCAGUAGCCGC